CCCCGCUACGAUCAACCACGGGAGCCACGACAGGCAAAACCCACACGAUCGCCAAACACGUACGACACGACAUAAAAGACGUAGGCAAGGCAGGGGUAACAUCGAAUGCACUGCUCUCUGGCGAUAGAAAACAUUGUUCAAUAUACGAAGAUGGUACGGUUGCAGCACAUACAAAUUUGUCUUGCUAUCCUGUGCGCUGUUACUCCUGCACGUACACUUCAUCCCAUUGUAGGUUAUUCAAACUCUGUAUACGGAAAUGACGUGAGAAAUGCAUAUGUUUCAAAUGAAAAAAGGGGCUCCAUGAUGACCAUUGAGUGUCCGUCCGGCCUCUCACAUUUGGACUGCUACCAACAGCUGGCAAACGUGUGGAUGAGGUUUUUAAUGAGGAAACAGAAUAAAAGAAGAUACCGCUAGCAUUGAGUUUAACCUAAAUGACCUAGAGAAAGACAAAUAAUUCAUAAAGGCUUAUAUUUUUUAUUUACACACAGAAUACAUUAUGACAAGUUUGCUUGUAUACAAAUUGUAUCACAGAAAUACAUGGCUUGCGGAUGUGGCUCUUUUAUACUAAAAACUACAGGUAUGCCCAUGGAGCUAUUGCGCUCACACAUUACUCUCACGAACUCUCAUGAUUUAAUAGAAAUUGAUAUUCAUAGAUUAGAAGAAGAGUUAUUACAGUGUGAAAACUAAUUUCUUCCGGAUUCUCUGGAAUAAAGAUAAGUAUAAUUAUA
This is a long non-coding RNA of Magallana angulata, 728 nucleotides long. RefSeq lists it as uncharacterized. The transcript is spliced from 4 exons. The record is from RefSeq and is a predicted model, not a curated record. NCBI's taxonomy places the organism in Eukaryota, Metazoa, Mollusca, Bivalvia, Ostreida, Ostreidae.